AAAAAAAGAAAGAAAGAAAAUAAAAAAGUAGCCAGCACCAUCAUUUGAAUAAAUACUACUCCAGUGGGAGUAGAAUCACCUUCAGUAUGUAAAUGUUUACCUGAUAAAAUGAUAGCUAUCUGAAGAAAACAGGGAAUUGAUACAGAUUCUAUUGCCAAAGAAUUGAACUUUAAAUAAAAAAAAAAUCUAAUGAUCCUGACAAAGUAUAAGUCAUAAUUUCCUGAAUUUGGUUAUAAGCAUAGCCACAAUCACAAUAUGUCACAAAAAUACAAAAGAAAAGUGAAGAGGAGG
Molecule: unclassified non-coding RNA, 291 nt
Filed under: Hevea brasiliensis (rubber tree)
Lineage: Eukaryota; Viridiplantae; Streptophyta; Magnoliopsida; Malpighiales; Euphorbiaceae
Source: RNAcentral